Molecule: long non-coding RNA, 2009 nt
Filed under: Citrus x clementina
Lineage: Eukaryota; Viridiplantae; Streptophyta; Magnoliopsida; Sapindales; Rutaceae
Description: Citrus clementina (C. clementina) long non-coding RNA (CCLE_LNC004277)
Source: RNAcentral
ACAUAUGGCAAUCUUCCAUCUAGUCACAUUAAUAAAUUGAUUGGUUGGUGCGAGUUGUAUAACAGCACCAAAUUGAUUGUAAUUAAAAUUAAAAAGAAUAUGAUUACCUUAAAUAAAAAAGAAAAAAAGGAAAAAGGAAAAGACUAACCUUUAAGAGUAGUCCCAAAUAUAAUGAAAAAAGAUUUAUGCCUUUGGUACUUUCUUCUCUCGUUGCAAUUCACAGUGUUGACACAUUUUUUUCCCUGAAAAGUACUGCAAGUUAGUAGAUUUAUCACUAAUCAGAUUUAAUAGGAAACGUUGACAGCUUGAAUUUAAGAUUUUCUUUAAUUUAAUUUGGAAUGCUAUGAACAAAACAUAAUUAGACAUGUCAAUGCACCACAAAUCAAAUUUCCAAGUCAUUUGGACAACUCUACAUUUGCUUCUCACAUGAUAAAACUAUAUAAGUUAAAAUUGCAUAUGAAACUGUAAAAGUAGCAGCAGGUGUUUGAAUAUAUAUUAAAUUUAAAAUACUAAAUAUAUCAUAAUGAUACUUUCCACAUUUUAAGUGGACAUAUAAGUCAACAACAUAUUAAAAUUUGAGGCUAUUCUGAUAUCAUUAGGCUGGUGUUUGAUAGGAUCAAACAUUAAUGAACAAUUCUGUCAAAAUUGCAUAUGAAACUGUAAAAGUAGCAGCAGGUGUUUGAAUAUAUAUUAAAUUUAAAAUACUAAAUAUAUCAGAAUGAUACUUUCCAGAUUUUAAGUGGACAUAUAAGUCAACAACAUAUUAAAAUUUGAGGCUAUUCCGAUAUCAUUAGGCUGGUGUUUGAUAGGAUCAAAGAUUAAUGAACAGUUCUGUCAAAAUUGCAUAUGAAACUGUAAAAGUAGCAGCAGGUGUUUGAAUAUAUAUUAAAUUUAAAAUACUAAAUAUAUCAGAAUGAUACUUUCCAGAUUUUAAGUGGACAUAUAAGUCAACAACAUAUUAAAAUUUGAGGCUAUUCCGAUAUCAUUAGACUGGUGUUUGAUAGGAUCAAAAAUUAAUGAACAGUUCUGUCAAAAGAAGUUACUGCAGAGACAUCAGAGUUUGAAAAAUUAUUAAAAAUAAAUUACAAGUUCAAUCAAAAUAAAAUUUUCCAGAUUUGAAGUAUGCAAAUAGAAGUGUAGUUUAUCCGAAUUUCAGCUUAUUCUAACUCUGUUAGACUAUAGUUUGCAAUAUCAAACAUGGUACAUAUGUAAUUUCUAAUAAAAUUGGACAACAACCAACCAUAUUGAGAAAUCCAUUCAAAAUAAAAUAUAAACCCAAUUCAUUCCAAAAUUUCCAGAAUUAAAAUGUUCUCAUUUAAACUUAGUUUAAUCAAACUUUCAAAUCAAUUGAAAGUCAUUUAGUCAAGUUCGGAAACAACCAAGUUCACAACAACAGUCUAUCAAUCCUCAAAUUUUCAGCAUAAUUUCGUGAGGGAGAAUGGAGAUUUUUACUUAAGAAAAUUUUAGGUUUGGGUUUUCAUACACACCAUUAAACGAAAUAUAGUACAUACUAAACACAUGAUUGUCGAUUGCCAUUAUUCUUUUAAUUAACAAAUUGCAUUCAACCUAAAUCCAUAAUCACCGAUUGUAAUCAUUCUUUCACUUAAUAAACUGAAUUCCACCUAUAAUAAAGCUGCGUUUUAUUUAUUUUAUUAAACAAUAAAUUAGAUUAUAAGCAACAAAAACCCUAGAUGGCUAGAUUUCCAAACAAGUGCAAGCUCUCAUUUGCACUCAAUAAACAUCAAUCAAUUAAUAGAUAAAUACUUAAACAAUGAGAAUAGAGAAUGAGACAAAGAGUUACCACAACACUGAUUCGGACUUUCAAACCUUAGCUUUGCCCAAAUUCUUCACAGCACUUUCUGGGUUCUUUUCAGGGAUAUUUUAGCUUAAGGACGACGGGUUUCAAGGUUUUGACAAAGGCGGCUUUCAAGGUAGAUCAUUGUUAGAGAGAGAAAGAGAGCGAGAGAGAGGGAAGGAGAGAGAAGGAAGAAAGCUUCGGCGGCCGUGAG